AAAAUAAAAAAAUAAUUAAAAACUUGAAACGAAAAAGAAAAAAGAAGAAGAAGAAAAAAGAAACUACAAGUAUUAAAAGAAAGAAACUAUAGAAAAAAGAAAAAUACUACAAGUAUUAAAAGAAAGAAACUACAAGUAUUAAAAGAAAGAAACUACAUACUUAAAAGAAAAAAACUACAAAAAAUCUCGCCUUUUAAUAAAGAAAUUACAUACUUAAAAGAAAGAAACUACAAGUAUUAAAAGAAAGAAACUGCAUAAUUAAAAGAAAGAAACUACAAGUAUUUAAAGAAAGAAACUAUAGAAAAAAGAAAGAAACUACAAGUAUUAAAAGAAAAAAAAACUACAGAAAAAAGAAAAAAACUACAAGUAUUAAAAGAAAGAAACUACAAGUAUUAUUUUAAUAAAAAAUUACAUAUUUAAAAGAAAGAAACUACAAGUAUCAUUUCUAAAACUUUGUUAAAUAAACAAGAUUUGAAUAAAUUUUUAAGUGACACUCUACUGUUAACAAAUGAAACUAUUACGAUCAAUUAAUGACACUUUUCAUAUAUUUAAGUUAAUCAUAUAGAC
Molecule: long non-coding RNA, 567 nt
Filed under: Salvia miltiorrhiza (redroot sage)
Lineage: Eukaryota; Viridiplantae; Streptophyta; Magnoliopsida; Lamiales; Lamiaceae
Description: long non-coding RNA (SMIL_LNC003542)
Source: RNAcentral